UUCUAAAUUUAACAAUCACGCUCUAAUCUCUGCCUUCCUUUCAUUUUCCAGUGAGAAAUGUCUCUCAAGGGAUCAGAUGACUGGCUAGGACACAGCAACCUGCACCAAUCGAGCAGGAAAAAUAGCAGUUAAAAUGCGCCAACAUUUAUCCGCAAUAUGCAAUCCCACGCCCCCUAUACACACACCCAAAAAAGUCAUUUGUCUUCUGGGUUCUGAGCUGUUUCAAGAAUUCUGGCAAACGUAGCCAUCAAACAAACUUCUCACACAAUAUAAAUACUGUCUGUUCAAGAAAGGCUUCCAGUGUUUACAGUCCGUAAGUGAAGAGGGAAAAAAGCUGGUAUUUAACCAAGAGCGGUGCCCUUGAAAACAUCUCUGAACAAAGUGUUCAGCAAAACUUUGGCUGCAGAUCCACUGGUUUCUGGUCUUCCUCUCAGUCCCCUGCCAGGAGGAAUUCUCACAUGGCAUCCUUCUGUUGCUUUUUUUUUUUUCUUUAAAUUACCUAAUUAAAUUUUAGGAAGGAGCACCCGACUUGGGGCAGGGAGAGGGGAGAUCACACCAACUUCCUUUUGAAACAGGGAAGAUGAAAACAUCCCAUUUUUCGGAGCCCCCUCCUGACAGCCUGGGAGGAGGAUGAGCGUUAUGCAUUGUUAUCAGCGUGGUGUAAUUUGACUGUUGACAAAGUAUCGGUGGCAGUGAGAAUGAACGAGGUUAGGAGUGUGGCGGGCUGUAAUCAAGAGGAUGCUUAGCUGUGCAACACUGCAUCUUGAGCAGAUUUGAAUCAACAUUGCCUUAAGGGGAUACACACACCAAAAGGGGAAAAAAGUCCAUUCAUUUUUAGAGGAAAAACUGGAGUGGCACUUGAAGAGAGAUCUGACGUGCUUUAAUUGCUCUGCAGCUCUCCUAAUUAGAGACUUUCCAAUCCCUUCGCUGCUGUCACUGUGAGGGUGCACCGUCUUGCUGGACGCAGACGAAAAUUGCAAAUUGGCUUGAUCGGGAAGUUUUAUAUAAAGACUGAACUACAUUCCCUGAUGCCCUCCUACCAAAGGGUGCACAGCUAGAGAGUGGCGGCAGCCUCUUUGCUUUCCACCCUGGAUUUAAAUUUUCAAGCCUUAUUAAAAUAGUUUCAUUAUGACACUCAAUGUAACGCAAGCAGGUGGCACUGAUAUUUCCUUAAAUAGAUGGAAACUUCUCUUCAUAUCCCACAUCAUAUGAAAUAUUUCAAGUGGAAAAAAGCCAGCAAAAUUCUAUGUUGUAUAUAUAUUCUCAUAUUUCCAUCUAUAUCUUAAAGAAGUGAAGGAAGGACAGAUUUGUUUUUCAGAGAGCAUAUCACAUAUCCCAUUUUCUCAAGCUUAAAUCUAAACUAGCACCCCAGACUCCCCUUCGAGUCUCAAAGUCAUUAUACUGCUGUUUGGCCCCAGGUUGCCACCAAAUAUGACAUGAUAAUAAUUUGGGCUUCCCUUUUCAACUUCCCUUCUGUAGCCCUUGAACCAAUCUUAAUUCAUUAACAUAUUGAAUUUUUUCAAUUUUCCAUUUUCUUGCAAUAACAAUAUUAAUGCCAGGGUGAAAGCUUGAUUGGAGCUAAAUUACUUGUUACCUGCUGGCAUUUAUUUAUAUGGCAUUGAAUUAUAAAGCUUUGCUAUUGUCAUGCCUUGGACGAAUUGUUUAUGACGCCAGUAAUAGGAGUAAUUGUUAUUGUUGAAAUUACCUGUCAGCUACCCAUAGCAGUGGCCCUUGUCCCACUGACAAAUAGUGACAAGGGAGAGGCAUCCUCCCUGCGUCCCCCUGAUGGCUUCUCCUCUGAUAAUAAGAAGUGCAGGGCCUCUGAUAAUUUGCCUGUCACUGUUGAGUGCAGCUCAGAGAGAGUUGGCCAAAUUGUUGUCAUUCACUUUGACAAAGACAGCAAAGUGCCCCUGUGCAGACAGAGGAUUAUCAAAAUAAAUGAAAUCACUCACACCCCUUUGUUUGUUUGCCUCAAGAAUUGCCUGGCUUUGGAUGAGGCUGUGAAAUCAGUGUCCGGUGCUUAUGGAUAUACCUCUGUUCACUCUGGAAGGAGGAUGGAUGCCAGACAAGGACAGACAAGAUUCUGAAGGGUAGAAUCUGAAGCUGGUACUCUACAACGUCCAAGUGUUGCAUAAGAAGUACUUGUGAGUUGGACCCUUCAUCAUCUGAACCACACACACCAAAACAGAACAAUUCUAUCACAGGACCUGGAGCAGGAAAUGAGCAGCAGAAAGGAGGCUUGGAGACCUGAUCCCCAGGCUUCGUGCCUACAAGGUCAGCUUGUGUUCUUGCUUCUCUUUCCGUCAUCUUAAUAAGGCCCUUUCCCCCACUUCUAGACAUUGCUUACAACUUUUCUAAAACCAAAAUUAUACUGUCUUAAGACCCAACUAUUUACCUAUAACCUGCAACCACCCUUAAUACAAACUAGAGGGGAAAAGCCCUCAAUCUAAAGUGAUAUUGCCAUGUCAAAUAUGGAAACUCAUCUAAAAACGUGAAGGAAUGGUUUUGUUUUUGUUUUUAAUUUACCCAGUACUUUAAGUAAAUUGUAAAAAUGACUCCAGAAAAGCAAAGAAUACCUCUUAACCAGACUUAAAGAUAAUCAAAAACAAAAUCUUAACUUUUAAUCACUGGUUUGUUCUACAAAAAUAGAAAAUAAAAAUAAUGGUUUUCAGGGCUAGAGAGAUGGCUCGGGAAAUCAAGAGCAUGGCUAACUGCUCUUCCUGAGGGCCUGAGCUCAGUUUCCAGCAGCCACAUUAGGCAGCUUACUGCCUUAGGCAGCCUGUAACUCCAACUCCCAGUGACCCAACACGUGGGCACACAUGGGCUCCUACAUUCACAUGCUUAGACCCACAUACAGAUACAUAAUUGAAAAAUAAAUAUCCAGCAUUGUUACACUAUUCGUGUCAUACUGCCCUUUCCAUAGAAUAAGGAAGCCAUAGGACACACACAAGCACACAUACACUUUCAAAACUGAGUCUUCCAAAGCCUUUAUCUAGACACCUUGAUAUGACCUUAAAUAACACAUGGUAUUAAAGCAAACGAGAAGUCCAGUUCUGAGUCCCCUGUGCUCUCCUGCACAUAAGGCUGCUUGCUUUCUUUGAGCCAGAUUACUGAAGCAGAUAAUGCUACCACGUCAUAUUUUGUCUCUAGCAUUUGCUAUAUCAAAUAUCAGCUUCCCAGGCAGGUUUUGGUGCUGUGGUAUCUUGCUGUAAUCAAGCCUGAUUGUAAUAUGUACCUGAUGUUGUGCGACCUGCUUCUCCCCUCACACCUUAUUUCUUCUUGUGCCUACACUUCUUCAUACUCCUGAGUUUUCAGGUCAGCUAAGCUUGUUAUCUUCAUUAUUGGGAAAAGUAAGGCGAAGGGUUUUUCUGAAAAGUUGGUAGGUUUUUUUUUCUGGUUUUGGUUUUUGAUGUUUUUAAAUAAACGCUUCAGAUUCGGAGCGUGAUGCCAUAACCUUCUACUUUGCUUCAUUGGCUUGUUGUGACUGCACUACAAUAUUUUGAGGAUCUUAAUCUAGCUAACAUCACACUCUUUGUUGUCAAUAAACUUUGUAAAUCGCUCUACCCAUACCUGAUUAUUUAUGGCAAAAUCAACAGUUAUGAGUAUUUUCAAUGGAGUUUCCAAUGACCCAGAUUAAAAGACAAGUACCCUUGAUUCAUAGUCUGCUAAUUAAUACUAGAGGCAAUAGUGGCACUAUGUCUCAAGCCCAAACAUUUUCAUCUUGAACAAGCCCUUGGCAUUUGCAAUCACUUAAUUUACAUUUUCAAAAGGUCACUUGUGGUUCCAGUUGGAAUGGAUUGUAUAUUUUAUUUAUUUUGAAGUAGGCUAAUUUGCCUUAGCACAAACCAUGUUCCUUUCCAGUCAGUGGCAAAGCAUAAUCCCACCAAGAAUAGAUUAAAGCAUUUUGAGUAUCUUGUUAAACAACUAGAGGACUGCUUGCAUUUCUCCAACAUUUGACUUAGUAGAUGAGAAGAGCAAGCAGUAAGCUAUGUUGAUCAUCAGUCAGAUUUUUAUUUCCACUUUGCAGAAUGGAAUCCACAAUUUUACAAGAGUCAACAUGGCUUCUGAUGCUCUGGCACGAAGUGAUUAAAUGAGGUUGAGUCUCAUUUUAUAUGAUAAUAGUGUAUUUGUAAUCUCUACAGCAUAUCUGAUUUAACAAGUUUAUUCUCUGUUCAGAAUGUCUUCCUUAUUAGUGGAAGGGAAUACCCCUCCAUUCAACAUAGGGCUGGCUUAAUUGGGCUUGAGUGCAUUGUGUGUAAUUAGUCCCCUUUUCUAAUAUUUCACCUAUAAUUACAUAAGAAACAGUGUCUUAAAUUUCAUAAAGUUGGUGAAGGAAAGGCUUGAAAAAGCAUGAGCAUUCCAUGUCCACUAUCUCCCAGUCUCUACUAAGAGCCCGAUGAAAAGAGCUCAGCCAGUGUGAGUCUUUCAGGGAAGGAAUGCCUAGGGAAAUCUAGAAGCACAAAUUAUUCUCCCCAUUCUCCUAUCUUGCCUGACAAGUUAGUGGCAGAAUUGUUUGAGUCCAGUACAGCUGGCACAGGAGAUGCCAGAGAAAAGUCCCCAAGUGCAGUAUGCUCACACUCCCUGUGACUUUCCACCUUCAAGAUUUUGGAUGCUAAGAGAUUUUGGCCCAAAGUCUGACAGGUCUCCACCCUCCAUGGCUCCUUCUCCUAACAAUCAUGGCUCUGCUAGAUAAGUCUGUUCCAAACAGCAGGUGGUCCAGCAGAGGGAUUCAAGACAGGGAUCCAGAGAUAAAGCUGAGGAAGAAGGGAAAACUGGAUAGGGGCCAUGAGCAUACCAAGAGUCUGGAGACAUGCUGUGAGCGCUUGGGAGCACAGAGAGCAGAUAGCAGGUUCUAGGACACAGCGGAAUGUUGUCAUUGUAAGAGUCAGCCCCAUGCAGGUUGGAGAGUAAGAAGUCAAUGUGCUAGCCAUCCUCGUCCUCCUCUCUUCUUCCUCUUCCUCUUCCUCCUCCCCCUUCUCUUCCUCUUCCUCCUUCUCUGUCUUCUUCCUAAGCAGCGUCUCAUCUGCAGAAACCUGGGCCGAAAGCAGAUAGCCCUCUACAACCCUGAAGAGUAAAGAGAAUGGCCAUAUGGCUAGGAGGAAACAGAUCAAUAACUGCCACAGACAUCUUCUCUCCAGUCUUAAUUAAGCCUUUUGUGUGGAGAUAGCAUUCCAAAUAAACCCCCGUGUGAAUUCAGGAUAAGAAAAAACAAACAACAACAACAAAACUUUCAGUGCUUAAUAACUAGAGGCCAGCUUUCUCUAAAUCCUUGAAGUCACGUGUGAAAAGGGAUUGCAUCAUUGUCUGCAUUGGCAUGGCCCAUGGACAGAAGAGUAAGACACAAAUGGGAGGUUCAGGUUGACUAUGGAUUCCCUUGGCUUUGAAUCUGUGCUUUCUUUGUUGUUAGGGGAAGCAGUGCCUUAUGCUGGUUUCACUUCAGGCUUCUAAUCACUGUAUGGCUUGCUUCUUAGUAGCCUGAAAAGCAAUGUAAAGAUAUGACUUUAGUUUGUCCUCAUGUUCUUAUCCUUUAUUCUUCCUUCACCCCAGCUAAUACUAGUAUGGGAGCUCUGAAAAAAUACUAGUUCCACUGUGAAGGCCCACCAACACUUUUCUUGCUUCUACUUGGUGUAGCUCCAUCACUUGCCUGUUCAAAUGAACAGUGUGGCUGAAUGAAGUCUGCAUUGGUUGCUGCAAUAUGAGGAUUUUUUUAUACAUUGACACCACCACCCUGCACACACACACACACACACACACACACACACACACACACACACUCCUUUUGACCAGAUCCACAUCACUUGGAAAGAGAAAGGCCAAGAGGAAAUUAUUGCUGCUUUAGACAGCAGCAUAAAUUUUCUUCCUAUUUUUAACCUAGCUUUUAAUUUAAUAAGUUUUAUGACUCUUAUAUUAAGUACAUAUGUUUUACAAGACAUUGUGUCCCUUGAGUCACCCUGAAUUUGCUUUACUGUACCCGAGUUAAAUGAAUGAAUACUGGGCUUCUGAUUUCCUGUCACCCUGUAUUUGAUCCUCACAAUAUGCCCGUGUACACUUCACAAACACAGAGAGUGCCACUCAAAAGCCAUGUCGAGGUCAGCACAGACUGUAGUCGUAAAUGAAAUGAUCUAAUGAAAUGUCAUAAAUGAAUUGUAGUAUUUUACAGUUCAACUUUCUCUCCUACAGCUCUCAUGACAAACAAUUAAGGACACGGUAAAUACUGGAACUGGUACCCGGUCUUGACAAUUGUCAGUGAAGCAUAAACAAAUCCUUUAUACAUUUGUUCCAUUAGUCAACACAAAGGUAUCUCCCCACCCCAAGGAGAAAAAUACUAAAGAUUCAAAAGGACAACCAUGUCUCAUUGGAAAUGUAAAAUGUAACCAGUUUUCUUAUAUGACACAUUCUAUCAUCUGUUCACAGACAUUUGAAAAUUAGCAUGGUUUUAUUUGGAUGUAUAGAAGCUUUGCUAUCCCAACAAGAAGAUGUUUUAAGUAACUCAAUAGUAACUUAAGACAAAAAUGCUCAGCUGUUGCAGGAUAGAACAACACACCUACAAUAUUUGUGUAGAGGAGGCUUUCCUGGAUUGUAUGCAGUAGGGACUGGGAUCAGGACUAGCAAGACAGAGCUAUGGCUUGGUCUACAGUUGGGUUGUAACAAUCUAGCAUGGGUGAUGAAAAGCUUGUUGGUUUUUUUUUUUUUUAAUUAUGAAAGUGUAUCAGAUCUUUGGAAAAGAUAGGUGCCGUGGGUUAGGUUAAUAUUCAACUAGAAAAGAUAAUAGUUGUUUUAUAAUAUGCUUUAUAAGUUAGCUAAUUCAACUCUGGCUUUGAAAAAGUGGUUUUUCUACACAUGCCAAAGUUUACUAAAUCAAUAAGCUACUAAAAGAGCAUUUUGGGUCAGUGGAUUAAGACUGAAUCUAGCUCAAGAUAGGAAGACUCAUAUCGUUCCAGUUUCUGUGCCAGACCAUAGAACUCUGUAUACCUUUGUUUACUGACGGAUGAAAUCCAACUCAAGAAGCCAGCAAUUUCUUUUCUAUUCACUUUGUUGACUUUUGUCCCACUCCAGUGACUUUGAACAGCGUGGUCUCAAAGAAUAGCUAGUUACGUGUAGGACCUCCCUCGGAACUCCACACAGCAAUACAUUUUCAUUUCAUAGCCGUGUGUGGCUCCAGCAUUGAUCUGUUGCCUGUGAUUUUAUUGUUAGAGGAAACCAUCCAUUAUCUUCAAAAGGGAAUAAAAAAGAUCUCAGCCUUUCUACGUUUCGCUUCAGGACCGUUUCAUUUCAGGACGGGCAUGACCCAAAUAUUAGACCUGCAUGAAGCCGAUUUCAAUACCUCCUGACACCUUGUACACCAUUUGUAUUUAAGAGGCCUUUUGUUUGGAGCCUUUGGAAAGAAUGCUAGUCUUCAAUAUCUAGAAAGUCUCGGUUCGCUCAUCUAAGUUACAGCCACACUGCUGAGAAACACAGGAUGGGAUAGAAUGUUGGCAUCAGGCUCCACAAAAACCAGGGCUGGCCAUUUUAACCGUAGUAGAGAACUCCUGGUCACCUCCCAAGGGGCAAAUUGAUGUCAAGUUCUGCUGUCUGUCAGGAUUAAGUGCCUGUUUGCUUUUUCGCUAACAUGUGGUUUGAGAACAAAGCAGCUCAAAUCUCCUCAGUCCUAACAAAGCAUCUCAAAUUGCUGAGUAAAAUUCCUUAAUCCCCCAUCUUAAUCUGAAAACACCAGCAGCACAGUGGAACACUCUGCACUCUUUCUGUACUGUUCUCCACCCUACUCACCCCACCUUCACCAUCCCUGCUCAUCCACCCCUCCUCACCCUGACACUCCCAGUGCACAAUUCCACCGCGGAGUAUUAGCAAGCUGGAAAUUAGAUAAGCUGGUCCAAGAUCUGCCAGGCUGGUUCAUGAUAUAUGACAUAUGAUAUAUGAUAUAUAUAUCAUAUAUAUGCACUAUAUAUGCACAAUAUAUAUGCACUAUAUAUGUACUCUGUGUGUGUGUGUAUGUCUCUUAUGCUAUAGUUACUUCAUUUAAAGAUUGCACUAUAUAUGCACUAUAUAUAUAUAUGCACUAUAUAUGUACUCGUGGGUGUGUGUGUGUGUGUGUAUGACUCUUAUGCUAUAGUUACUUCAUUUAAAGAUUGAAAAGAAAAUAGAAAAAAA
Long non-coding RNA from Mus musculus (house mouse), 8148 nucleotides. RefSeq annotates it as predicted gene, 31674. Lineage: Eukaryota; Metazoa; Chordata; Mammalia; Rodentia; Muridae. The record is from RefSeq and is a predicted model, not a curated record. The transcript has 3 exons.